Molecule: long non-coding RNA, 423 nt
Filed under: Nicotiana benthamiana
Lineage: Eukaryota; Viridiplantae; Streptophyta; Magnoliopsida; Solanales; Solanaceae
Description: long non-coding RNA (NBEN_LNC031312)
Source: RNAcentral
CUAAAUCGACAAAAAAGUUUUUUGAAAGUAAUUUUCAAAGAAAGAUUUAUGGAAAUCAUUUGAAAACUCUCACAUAGCAUAGAUACACAACAGAUCUAAAAAGAAUCGAAGAAAAACCUCGAAUAGCUAGGGUUUCAGAGGAACCCUAGGGUGAGAAAGGCUUUGGGAAAGGUCCGAUCGUCGGAUAAGGUUAGAAUCAGGCUCAGGAGGCUAGGAUAUGAUGGAGCAAAGCCUGGAGAUGGCCAGAAACCUUCAGGCAUCAUGCACACAGGAGUAAUAUGAGGUGAGUAUAUGUCAUCUAUGGCCUGAGAAGCCACAGAUUCUGGUGGGGUGUUGGUCGGAGAGGCGGUGGAGUUCAUCCAAGAAGAGAGAUCUAGAAGGUGCUAGAGAGAGUGGAGAGGGAAAGAUGAUUUAGAGAGAGAG